GCCGGGCGCGGUGGCGCCUGUAAUCCCAGCUACUCGGGAGGCUGAGGCUGGAGGAUCGCUUGAGCUCAGGAGUUCUGGGCUGCAGUGCGCUAUGCCGAUCGGGUGUCCGCACUAAGUUCGGCAUCAAUAUGGUGACCUCCCGGGAGCGGGGGACCACCAGGUUGCCUAAGGAGGGGUGAACCGGCCCAGGUCGGAAACGGAGCAGGUCCAAACCCCCAUGCUGAUCAUUAGUGGGAUCGCGCCUGUGAAUAGCCACUGUACUCCAGCCUGGGCAACAUAGCGAGACCCUGUCUCUA
This 296-nucleotide signal recognition particle RNA is filed under the name Cervus hanglu yarkandensis (Yarkand deer). RNAcentral's name for it is "Metazoan signal recognition particle RNA (ENSCHYG00000017180.1)". It matches the Rfam family "Metazoan signal recognition particle RNA". Rfam says of the family: The signal recognition particle (SRP) is a universally conserved ribonucleoprotein. It is involved in the co-translational targeting of proteins to membranes. Lineage: Eukaryota; Metazoa; Chordata; Mammalia; Artiodactyla; Cervidae. The record is from Rfam by way of RNAcentral.